CUGCCCCCCGCAGGGGGAUAACCGGGAGAAAUCCCGACUAAUACCGCGUAACGCCGCGGACCUGCAUGGGUCUGCGGCCAAAGGAAGCGAUUCCGGCGGGGGAUGGGCAUGCGGCGCAUUAGCUAGUCGGCGGGGUAACGGCCCACCGAGGCGACGAUGCGUAGGGGUUCUGAGAGGAAGGUCCCCCACACUGGUACUGAGACACGGACCAGACUCCUACGGGAGGCAGCAGUGAGGAAUAUUGGUCAAUGGGCGGGAGCCUGAACCAGCCAAGUCGCGUGAGGGAAGACGGUCCUACGGAUUGUAAACCUCUUUUGCCGGGGAGCAACGGGGUCCUUGCGAGGGCCCAAUGAGAGUACCCGGAGAAAAAGCAUCGGCUAACUCCGUGCCAGCAGCCGCGGUAAUACGGAGGAUGCGAGCGUUAUCCGGAUUUAUUGGGUUUAAAGGGUGCGUAGGCGGGCUGUUAAGUCAGCGGUCAAAUGUCGGGGCUCAACCCCGGCCUGCCGUUGAAACUGGCGGCCUCGAGUGGGCGAGAAGUAUGCGGAAUGCGUGGUGUAGCGGUGAAAUGCAUAGAUAUCACGCAGAACUCCGAUUGCGAAGGCAGCAUACCGGCGCCCGACUGACGCUGAGGCACGAAAGCGUGGGUAUCGAACAGGAUUAGAUACCCUGGUAGUCCACGCAGUAAACGAUGA
RNAcentral lists this ribosomal RNA (692 nucleotides) under uncultured bacterium. Its description in RNAcentral is "bacterial SSU rRNA". It matches the Rfam family "Bacterial small subunit ribosomal RNA", at positions 126 to 812 of the family's 1533-position model. The record is from RNAcentral.